This 253-nucleotide ribosomal RNA is filed under the name uncultured bacterium. RNAcentral's name for it is "partial 16S ribosomal RNA". It matches the Rfam family "Bacterial small subunit ribosomal RNA", at positions 524 to 776 of the family's 1533-position model. The record is from RNAcentral.
UACGAAGGGGGCUAGCGUUGUUCGGAUUUACUGGGCGUAAAGCGCACGUAGGCGGAUCGUUAAGUCGGGGGUGAAAUCCUGGAGCUCAACUCCAGAACUGCCUUUGAUACUGGCGAUCUUGAGUCCGGAAGAGGUGAGUGGAACUCCUAGUGUAGAGGUGGAAUUCGUAGAUAUUAGGAAGAACACCAGUGGCGAAGGCGGCUCACUGGUCCGGUACUGACGCUGAGGUGCGAAAGCGUGGGGAGCAAACAGG